Molecule: unclassified non-coding RNA, 334 nt
Filed under: soil metagenome
Description: partial contains 5.8S ribosomal RNA, internal transcribed spacer 2, and large subunit ribosomal RNA
Rfam family: 5.8S ribosomal RNA (bases 1-120)
Source: RNAcentral
GAUGAAGAACGUAGCGAAAUGCGAUACGUAAUGUGAAUUGCAGAAUUCAGUGAAUCAUCGAAUCUUUGAACGCACAUUGCGCCUGCCAGCACUCUGGCAGGCAUGCCUGUUCGAGCGUCAUUUCAACCAUCAAGCCCUAGGCUUGCGUUGGAGCCCUGCGGCUGCCGCAGGCCCCUAAAAGCAGUGGCGGGCUCGCUAUCACACCGAGUGCAGUAGAUUACUCUUCGCUCAGGGCGUGUGGCGGGUUCCAGCCGUGACACCCCCUACUUCUCAAGGUUGACCUCGGAUCAGGUAGGAAUACCCGCUGAACUUAAGCAUAUCACUAAGCGGAGGA